Molecule: long non-coding RNA, 3422 nt
Organism: Prionailurus viverrinus (fishing cat)
Lineage: Eukaryota; Metazoa; Chordata; Mammalia; Carnivora; Felidae
Exons: 4
Source: RefSeq, a predicted model, not a curated record
AGGGUCACCUCUUGGAAUAAACCAGGCCUGCUGGUUAGCUACACGAGGAAAUCUUCCUCCUUCCCCUGAGCUGGACUCAACUCUUGCAUAUGAAGCCACACACUAUUGUGGCUCUUUCAAAAUGACCCUGAGAGGAAAACUGCUUGCUCCACAAAUGAGUGAGGAUGGUGAAAGAAAAUGGCUGCACAAGGCAUACGGUGGUUAUGUGGCAUAGCCAGGGUUUGAGCCCAGUCCGUGUGACUCCCAAGGUCAAUGCCUUACCAACCUUACAAGGAAGGAAAGUCUCCCACCAAGGAGGCUCCAGUUUCUUAAGAGCACCCAAGCCUCUCAACUCACUGGACAAGAAUCGACCUGACAUGCUGGAAAGCAUCGCAGGGCUGGCCCAGGGCUGAUGGAGCCCUUGAGUGGCCCCACGGUUGGUCCUUGACCCCUCCUGGUGGCCCUGGAGUUCAAGCUGCCACUGUACAGAUGAGGAAACCAACAUCCACAGAGGGACAGGCCCUGUCCAGAGAACAGCAGAGGGGGAUGCAACACGGCUCCAGCUCCCAGACUCACACAGGGCAGCAACGCAAGGUGACCACACCUGCCUGGCAGAGUGGGCAAGGCUGGCCUUGAAGUGGGAGCCCUGAGUUAACAAAGCUGAGGAUCCCGAGUUUCAGACCGAUAUGAGCAGACGUCUGGUCGUCUCAGAAAUGGCAGCUCUGCGCUUCUGGUUGCUCGUGUGAAAACGUGCCCAGCGCAGUGCCUGAUGUAUGGAGGACCUCAACACAUGUUUGUGGACGGAACAAAUGGAGCCAUGGAUGGGCGCGGCAUUGUCUCUGCCCUCAGGGAGCUCUGGUCUGGGUCUGGGGUGUAUACAUCCACAAAGGCCCAUGGAAGUACGCACCCACACUGUGGAGUAGGGCUAGCCCUGAGGCUGGCUAGGAGUUGGAGGUUCCAGACAACCCAGGGGGAGGAGCCUUCCAAGCCUCUCCCAGGGACUCAGGUUUCCCUGGCAGGGCACAGUUAGAAUGGCAGCAGAGAAGGCAGGUGGCAGAGUGGGGAGGUCACUCUGUGUGGGACCACCAGUCAGGCCCAUCCCCUGAGCUCGGCUCCCAGCAGGGACAGCGGCUGCUGAGUCUCUUCCCCUUGUCCUUCCCCUCUUUCUGGCCCCAAGCACUUCUGGGGAAGGGAGGAUGGACCCAGGGAGAAAGGGAGGAAGGAAUACAUCAAGCAAGCAAACAAUUUUUAAAACUCAAGUUCAUGCUUGCUAAGCAGUUUGGUCCUUUCUGACUAACAAAGAGGCUUUGCCAUCAACUGGGUCAAGUUAUUCUUCAUGAAAACCCUACGAGGCAGGUCAAUAUUUUUACAUUCAAUUUUAUGGAUGAAGAAACAGAGGUUUUUGAUGUCUCCAAGGUCACAAAGCAAAUCGGGUGAGACUUGGGACAAUGAAUGCGGGGACUGUAAGGCAGGCCUGACAUCCCACGGCCCGGUCUCUGGAUCAGAUGAGCAGAAACUGUGCCUGGGUGGCUGGCGCUAGGGGCAGAGUGGCCCUGCCCUGCCAGGCUGCUCCAGGUCCGGAGGACCAACGAUGUGGGUGCCCACGUGGUGGGAACCAGAAAGAUGGCUCUAGGGAAGGGGCAGAGGGAAGACUCCACUGUGAGAGGGCCCUGCUCAGGUGUGGAAGGAAGCUGAGGGGAGGCCAGCCUGCCUGGGACUCGGGAGCGGUGGGGGCAGGGACAGGGACAGGGGCGGCCCCUUCCUCCCCCUGCCCAGGCCAUUGCGGCUGCCCUGGCUAUGGUCAGCAACAGCCUCCUCCUGGCCAAGCACAGAGGACAGCUUCAGACCUGACUUCUCAACACCUUUGCUCCUCCCUUAGCUGCCUUUGUGUCUGUGUCUGGGCAGAUACCCCUUCUGGUCUUCUGGGCAUCUGAAGUGUAGUUUUCCAGCCUCUGAGGACUCUGUAGGGAACUGUACUCAGAAGGAUCUGAUUUCUGUUCUGGAGACUACUAAAAACCUCCAAUAGAAGUGACUCGAAGUAGAGAUCAUAAAGCAUUCAUCUCUGCUCUCCAGGACACCUUGCAUGGAAUAGUGGCACCUAACUAACAUUGGACUUCAUUGCUUCACUGCGUGAUCUACAUAGAAGUAAAGAAAAGAGACCCUCGACGUUGGUUGGAUGUCUACCUGUGACGACGCUUUACAGAGCUGGGUCCGUAUCAUUCCCAGAGCAACCUUUAGGUGGCUAACAAUGACCUCGUUUUACAGACAAGGUAACUGAGGUCCCAGGGGUUAAGACAUUUAUCCUCGGCAUCCAGAUACGCCCACCAUGAAAGCCUAAAUUCUUUCACUAUAUCAUGCCAUAAAAACCCAUCUACUCCACCCCGGAAGUCGAAACGAAAUACGAUCACUGCAUGAAGUUCCCUGGCAGCAUUCCUUCUGUGGGGUAAGAAACGGAGAGGCCCGACACCAUCAUAAUAAACUGCAAAGGAACAGCAGUGUUGAGGGUCCUCCUGGUGUUCUACGGAAUCAACAGAUGCUUCGAAGAAGUGGACAGUAGCCUGUGCCUAGCAGUCUUUCUGAUGUGCAGAGAUUCUGUAAUAAUGGCACUGGCUGUAAUGAGAUUGGACCGCUAUUAUCCAUUUUUGUUCCACUAAUGAGCCUGGAAGCUCCUGGCUGUGCCAAAGGCGAGGGUCGGGGCCUUGCAACUUCAUCAUUACUUAAUAAAAUGUAAAUCGGAGAGGAAAAGAAACACGCAGGGUUUGACACUAAUAAGCUUACAGCAGGAUCAGUUACUUCAAUUCAAAGAGGUUCAGACCGGAGGGGGAGAAAUGAAAUAAGCUUUUAAAGACCAGUCUAGGUUUGGCUCCAUCAGACCUAACCAGUUUUGUUUAAUAAAGUUUCAAUUUGGCUGCUCUCAUUUCUCCCUCUUCUUCAAGCUAGGCCGGGUACAGAUAAGGCAUCCCCCCACCCCGCCUAAUGCAUUAAUUGCAUCUCACACAAAAAGCCAAACUCGGGACUCUGCACAAGGAGAGAGCAGCGUGGGCCCCUGGGGGCUGCCGGCACCUCCCCUGCCUGGUGCAGAUCCUGGCUCCCCUGGCACCACCCGCGAGAGGAGAAUGUCACAUGGGUCCUGCGGACUCAGUUCUCACCCGCUUAUUUUUCAGAGCAGCGAAAACCAUUCAGAAAGGUACGGGGAAUCAAAUGACAUCGUGACCACCUGUGUUCCCAUCCCCUGGAACUGACCACUCAGAUCUCGUCAUUCCAUCCCGACAUCGAACUGAAGACCUCUAGUCCCACUUCCCUCCUCAGCUCCGUGUAGCAAUUACUUCCAUGAAUUCUGCAUGUGUCCUUCUAUUUUAUAUACUUUGACCUGUGUGUGUAUCCCUGAAUAGUAUAUACGUUUAUUAGUUCAUACAAAUGGUGCCAUAUUAUUGCUUGACUCC